AUUGAACGCUGGCGGCGUGCUUAACACAUGCAAGUCGAGCGGUAACAGGCGUAGCAAUACGUGCUGACGAGCGGCGAACGGGUGAGUAAUGCUUCGGAAUCUUCCUUGUAGUGGGGAAUAACCUGGGGAAACUCAGGCUAAUGCCGCAUACGAACCAUGGUUGAAAGCGGGGGAUCGCAAGACCUCGCGCUAUAAGAUGAGCCGAAGUCGGAUUAGCUAGUUGGUGGGGUAAAGGCCUACCAAGGCGACGAUCCGUAGCUGGUCUGAGAGGACGACCAGCCACACUGGGACUGAGAUACGGCCCAGACUCCUACGGGAGGCAGCAGUGGGGAAUAUUGGACAAUGGGGGCAACCCUGAUCCAGCGACGCCGCGUGUGUGAAGAAGGCCUGCGGGUUGUAAAGCACUUUUAGUGGGGACAAAAAGCCGAGGGCUAAUACCUUUCGGUCUUGAUUUAACCCAAAGAAAAAGCACCGGCUAACUCUGUGCCAGCCGCCGCAGUAA
Molecule: ribosomal RNA, 502 nt
Filed under: uncultured bacterium
Lineage: Bacteria
Description: partial 16S ribosomal RNA
Rfam family: Bacterial small subunit ribosomal RNA
Source: RNAcentral